GAUGAAGAACGUAGUGAAAUGCGAUAAGUAGUGUGAAUUGCAGAAUUCAGUGAAUCAUCGAAUCUUUGAACGCACAUUGCGCCCCUUGGUAUUCCAUGGGGCAUGCCUGUUCGAGCGUCAUUUGUACCUUCAAGCUUUGCUUGGUGUUGGGUGUUUGUCCCGAGGGACUCGCCUUAAAGUAAUUGGCAGCCAGUGUUUGGUUUUGAAGCGCAGCACAAGUCGCGAUUCAAGGCUACACGCCCGCUUCCACAAGCCUUUUUUCACUUUUGACCUCGGAUCAGGUAGGGAUACCCGCUGAACUUAAGCAUAUCAAUAAGCGGGGGA
This 324-nucleotide unclassified non-coding RNA is filed under the name soil metagenome. RNAcentral describes it as "partial contains 5.8S ribosomal RNA, internal transcribed spacer 2, and large subunit ribosomal RNA". The stretch from base 1 to 120 matches the Rfam family "5.8S ribosomal RNA", at positions 35 to 154 of the family's 154-position model. The record is from RNAcentral.